Molecule: ribosomal RNA, 440 nt
Filed under: uncultured bacterium
Lineage: Bacteria
Description: partial 16S ribosomal RNA
Rfam family: Bacterial small subunit ribosomal RNA
Source: RNAcentral
CCUACGGGCGGCAGCAGUAGGGAAUAUUGCUCAAUGGGGGAAACCCUGAACCAGCAACGCCGCGUGGAGGAUGAAGGUUUUCGGAUUGUAAACUCCUUUUGUUAGAGAAGAUAAUGACGGUAUCUAACGAAUAAGCACCGGCUACCUCCGUGCCAGCAGCGGCGGUAAUAGGGAGGGUGCAAGAGUUACUCGGAAGCACUGGGCGUAAAGGGCGCGUAGGCGGGAUAACAAGUCAGAGGGUAAAUCCUAGGGCUUAAACACAGAAUGGCAGUUGAAACUGUUAUACUAGAGUAGGGGAGAGGUACGCGGAAGGCGUGGUGUAGCGGUAAAAUGCGUAGAGAUCACGCGGAAUAGUGAGUGAGAAGGGGACGUACUGGAACCAAACUGACGCUGAGGCGCGAAAGCGUGGGGAGCAAACAGGAUUAGAUACCCGAGUAGUC